This 1274-nucleotide ribosomal RNA is filed under the name Triticum aestivum (bread wheat). RNAcentral describes it as "partial small subunit ribosomal RNA". Lineage: Eukaryota; Viridiplantae; Streptophyta; Magnoliopsida; Poales; Poaceae. The record is from RNAcentral.
AUGAGCCAGCUCGCAUCCUUUUCGAGAGCCCGCGUCCUUCCCACGAACCCUACCGCUGCCCCGCUCCUCCUCCUCCCACCUCAGUCGCCUCCCCCUAGACGCCGCCGCCUCCUCCCACCUCAGUCGCNNGGGCGCCACGAGGAAUGGAAGGUUGAGUUCGUUCGACGGCCGGUGCAGCAGGAGCAAGGAGCCAACUGUGGUCAAUGGCUAACCUCUAUCUCCUCUCUCUCUCUAUGGUUGAGAAGAAGGCCAAAUAGACGAAGAAGAAUUUGGCUCGAAAGUCUUGCCAAGGGUACGAUAAAAUUAGGCACAAUGGCAAGAUCUGUAGCAUCUACUGUGAACACAAAGCGGAGAAAAGGGAUUGCUUCCUCGUCCGAUUCAUGUUUCGGCAGUGCCGUGGGGGCUGUCGAGGUAAGCUCCAUUGACCCCCACCACGGCUUGCCCUUCCAAGCUUUCCUCCUCUCUGCCAUCCACGCGGCCAUCGGUGGUGCAGUAGGGGAGGCAACUCAGGUCAGGUGAGCAGCGGCAGAAAUCCACGGUGUGUUGCAAAGAACCAUGCUGAGGAUGGCUCGAUGCAAUAAGCCAUCAUCUCGACUGGGCCUGUGGCCCCAGCGGGAGAUGCCUAGGGCCGUGCCCAUCGACCAGGGCAGGGGGUGCCUACUAUGACAUGGACGAGUACACCAAACUGAUGUGAGCCGCCGCCAAUCCUAGCCCGUCGCCAAGCUCGUGAUGCUGGAGUGCUCCGCCCAAGUGUCUGAUCUAGGGGCCAAUUGGAAGGACAGGUUUCCUUCUUCACUUUACCAGACUUCAAAUGUACUAUCUAGCAGACUAGCACGUGUGCAUAUGAUGACUCCUUUUAUCUUUGAUGAAGGUAUUGGGAUUUCUUUAGGGGAAAUUGUAACAAUGUUGUUUGAAAUGGUGCUUCUCAAUUAUAGGUGGAAAGCCUGGCAUGGAGGCACAUAGGCUGCUGAUUAUGUUUCUGGAUUGGCCCUUGAGAAGGAGACCAAAGCAAACUUCAGCAGGAGUGUGUUCGAUAGAAUUGGCAAUGGGAUCGGGAGGUGGUGUCCAAGAAUUAUGUGGUUUGAUGGCACUAGGGGCAGGAGUGCUGAUUUAAUCAGACUAAGAAGAUGCCUAAAUAAGCUGUGAGGCUGCCUAUAUAUAAUUGUAUUUCUAAGUCAUUGUACUAUAUGUAAACCAAUUUAAGUCAUUCUACCAUCUGUAAUACAAUCCACAUUGCAUUAUCUUUCCAUCGAUAUCUCCUACUUACUCACUAC